Molecule: ribosomal RNA, 492 nt
Filed under: uncultured bacterium
Lineage: Bacteria
Description: partial 16S ribosomal RNA
Rfam family: Bacterial small subunit ribosomal RNA
Source: RNAcentral
GAUGAACGCUGGCUACAGGCUUAACACAUGCAAGUCGAGGGGAAACGGCAUUGAGUGCUUGCACUGAAUGGACGUCGACCGGCGCACGGGUGAGUAACGCGUAUCCAACCUUCCCGUUACUGCGGGAUAACCUGCCGAAAGGCAGACUAAUACCGCAUGUUCUUCGAUGACGGCAUCAGAUUCGAAGCAAAGAUCCGUCGGUAACGGAGGGGGAUGCGUCUGAUUAGCUAGUUGGCGGGGCGACGGCCCACCAAGGCGACGAUCAGUAGGGGUUCUGAGAGGAAGGUCCCCCACAUUGGAACUGAGACACGGUCCAAACUCCUACGGGAGGCAGCAGUGGGGAAUAUUGGUCAAUGGGCGGAAGCCUGAACCAGCCAAGUAGCGUGCAGGAUGACGGCCCUACGGGUUGUAAACUGCUUUUAUGCGGGGAUAAAGUGAGGGACGCGUCCCUUUUUGCAGGUACCGCAUGAAUAAGGACCGGCUAAUUCCGUG